Molecule: long non-coding RNA, 940 nt
Filed under: Homo sapiens (human)
Lineage: Eukaryota; Metazoa; Chordata; Mammalia; Primates; Hominidae
Description: HSALNT0319282
Source: RNAcentral
CUGCCCCGCCUGCCGAGCAUGCGCAUGCCCAGCGCCUGCCCUGUGCGUCCCGGGAAGCCGGGCGGGAGCCUGCGGCUUCGGACGCCUACGACACGCUGUGCGUGGGGGCGCGGAGUGCGGGGGAUGUAGUUCCGGUUGGGAGGGGCGUGGCUGAGGACUGUGAAGCAAUCGGGGCGAGGCCGGGUGUCUGUUCAACUCUCCCGCGUAUCGUCUGUUUCUUCGGCGGCGGACAGUGUUCUGUAAUGUGUCUCCCGUUGCCCGAGCUAAAGGUUUUCCUCGACGGAGUCUUUAGAAUACCGUGGUAGAGGCAGUCUCCACACCACUGUGCUCGAACAGCUCUAUGAAGAGGCCUAUGUGGAGAGGAGAAAAAGCCUCCACCAACAGCCAGCACCAACUUGCCAGCCAUAUAUGAACUCUCGCUAUGUUGCCUCGGCUGGUCUCAAACUCCUGGGCUCAAGUGAUCCUCCCACUUCGGCCUCCCAAACUCAAAGCACCUGUCAUAAAAAUAUUAACUUGUAAUAAAAGUGUUUAGUAACACUAAUAUGUGAUGGCAAUUUCAGGAAAGUCAAUGUUCUGAGCAAGAAGAACAAGGAACAGAAGAGAAUUAUCCUCAAAUUAGAAGGAGUAGGACCUACAUGGUAAAGAAAAAAUUUACGUGCAAGGCAGAUGAGGAAGUAAGAGAGCAUCCAGCCCCUUCACACAACUUCAUUCUCUGUCUUACCGAAAGAAUGUGAAAUGUGGUGGUAGCUUUACUGGGGACAGGAGAGGUGCCAGAAGUUUGAAGAUGGACUAAUCUCCUUGUUUUCUAAAAGAAGAACCUAUAAGUCUCUGAGCACAUUUUUCUUUGGCAAAAUUCUGGAAUGGAUAAUUAGACAAAUGGUUUGUGAAUCUUUAGAAAAGUGGCAAAAACAAGGCACAGCAUAAAUUCACUAAAAAAUAA